This 370-nucleotide ribosomal RNA is filed under the name uncultured bacterium. RNAcentral's name for it is "bacterial SSU rRNA". It matches the Rfam family "Bacterial small subunit ribosomal RNA", at positions 30 to 402 of the family's 1533-position model. The record is from RNAcentral.
AUUGAACGCUGGCGGCAUGCUUUACACAUGCAAGUCGAACGGUAACAGGCCUUCGGGUGCUGACGAGUGGCGAACGGGUGAGUAAUGCAUCGGAACAUACCCAGUCGUGGGGGAUAACGUAGCGAAAGUUACGCUAAUACCGCAUACGUCCUGAGGGAGAAAGCGGGGGAUCGCAAGACCUCGCGCGAUUGGAGUGGCCGAUGUCAGAUUAGCUAGUUGGUGGGGUAAAGGCCCACCAAGGCGACGAUCUGUAGCGGGUCUGAGAGGAUGAUCCGCCACACUGGGACUGAGACACGGCCCAGACUCCUACGGGAGGCAGCAGUGGGGAAUUUUGGACAAUGGGGGAAACCCUGAUCCAGCCAUGCCGCGU